UACUAUUAACUGUGUUGAUCUGUUUGCCUC
This 30-nucleotide non-coding RNA is filed under the name Mus musculus (house mouse). The record is from RNAcentral. Lineage: Eukaryota; Metazoa; Chordata; Mammalia; Rodentia; Muridae.